Molecule: long non-coding RNA, 676 nt
Organism: Pollicipes pollicipes
Lineage: Eukaryota; Metazoa; Arthropoda; Thecostraca; Pollicipedomorpha; Pollicipedidae
Exons: 4
Source: RefSeq, a predicted model, not a curated record
CGGGUAUAAGGGUGGUGGAGGCAGGUACGUGAUUGUCAGCCACGCAUUUUCUCAGAAAUAGAGGCACUCCUGACUUGCAGUCAGCAGCAUAUGACUGACUCCCCAGCUUGUCAGAUUCUCUGCUUCUUUGUGGCACAGUUUUCGGAUAGAAAUCUGCAAGAGGCAAUCCGCCACACCAUCUUUUAUUAUCAGGUCAUGGCAGCAAACAGAGGCACUAUGAUAAACAACCUCUCGAGGAACUUCAACAGCUCCACGCACACGGGGCGAGCUAACGUCGCCAAAGCCACUUUCGCUACCUGUGCUCUCGUGGUCCUGUUGUAUAAUGCGAAGCAAUAUAAAAACGCUAGCUAACUUUUAACACUAAUUAGGGUCACAAGCCAAAUGCAACCUUGUAAUCAUGGCGUGGCAGUGUUAGAUCGAAUCGACAAAUGUUCCAAAAUACCUGAACAGUACUUGGGUUAAGUGUGCUUUGAACAAACUCCUAGUCAUUUAUGCUUGUUCUGUUUUUUUUCUGUCGUGUGUGGUACAUCCACGUACAUAUGCCGGUACAACGCUCAGGCACAACUGUCAUGUCACUGAUCGCCGCGCACUGUAGUAUCGAAUGGUCAGUGCGGUUGCGAGUAUAUUGUCUCCGGAAUGACAUUAUUUGGGCAAUAAAUGUCGGGUCUGUCGUCAA